CUUUAUCUGGUUCGUCUGAAUAAAUUGGACAAAGUUAUCUAAAUAGCAUAAAGAACAAAUAAUUUUAGCUGCUGGUUCGACGCCAACAUCCAAAAAACAAGGAGACGCACGAGAACUAUGCACGUGAUUUAGGGUGCAUACCUCAAAGCUCUUCCCGCGUUAUUCAACCUAACCAUGUGCCAUGCUGUGCAGAAUACACGUCUAGAUUAGUCGCAAGAGAAGAUUAGCUCAAGUUCAACUGCCAGGCGACGUCAGUGGAGAACACCUUGGAGCAAAUCCUCCAUACGGUUUUCUUCAUGCUUGGCCCGCCACUGAUGGAUAAUCGGUUCACCUUCAACAGUCUUUGUUCCAGUCUAUCUAGGUCUGCAGUAGAUACUAGAGGAAAGACACCACCCUCUUCCUCUUCAGCCAAUUGCAUUUGGGGUACAAUACGCCUGUUCCCCACUAGAGACUGGACCAGUGAAGUCAGAUGGUUGAUCUUCAUCUCCAUUUUCUCUAGUGUUUCCAGAAUUGCCCUUUCUACAGCUGCAAUACAUAAGAUAAUUUAAUUUGUACUCAAGACUGGAUUUUCCUGUCUCCCAUCAGAAGUACCU
This is a long non-coding RNA of Carassius carassius (crucian carp), 593 nucleotides long. RefSeq lists it as uncharacterized. The record is from RefSeq and is a predicted model, not a curated record. The transcript is spliced from 4 exons. NCBI's taxonomy places the organism in Eukaryota, Metazoa, Chordata, Actinopteri, Cypriniformes, Cyprinidae.